UAGAGGCAGCGGAGACAGGAACGAAGCCAAGGUGGCAGAGGUGGGAGGGAAACA
This 54-nucleotide small RNA is filed under the name Myotis lucifugus (little brown bat). RNAcentral describes it as "GRIK4 3 prime UTR element (ENSMLUG00000029615.1)". The record is from RNAcentral. Lineage: Eukaryota; Metazoa; Chordata; Mammalia; Chiroptera; Vespertilionidae.